RNAcentral lists this ribosomal RNA (470 nucleotides) under uncultured organism. RNAcentral's name for it is "partial 16S ribosomal RNA". It matches the Rfam family "Bacterial small subunit ribosomal RNA", at positions 334 to 796 of the family's 1533-position model. The record is from RNAcentral.
CACUCCUGCGGGAGGCAGCAGUGGGGAAUUUUGGACAAUGGGCGAAAGCCUGAUCCAGCCAUGCCGCGUGCAGGAUGAAGGCCUUCGGGUUGUAAACUGCUUUUGUACGGAACGAAACGGCCUUUUCUAAUAAAGAGGGCUAAUGACGGUACCGUAAGAAUAAGCACCGGCUAACUACGUGCCAGCAGCCGCGGUAAUACGUAGGGUGCAAGCGUUAAUCGGAAUUACUGGGCGUAAAGCGUGCGCAGGCGGUUAUGUAAGACAGUUGUGAAAUCCCCGGGCUCAACCUGGGAACUGCAUCUGUGACUGCAUAGCUAGAGUACGGUAGAGGGGGAUGGAAUUCCGCGUGUAGCAGUGAAAUGCGUAGAUAUGCGGAGGAACACCGAUGGCGAAGGCAAUCCCCUGGACCUGUACUGACGCUCAUGCACGAAAGCGUGGGGAGCAAACAGGAUUAGAAACCCGGGUAGUCC